ACUAGGCUAUACUAACCGCACCAACUGUGCUAUUUGUGGCGUCAAUUGAGAAAAUAGUAUGCUUAUUGGUCAUAGUAUGGAUAUAGUUCCCGGAUGUUGUACUAAAUUUGCCAAAAUAUGAAGUAUACACAUCGAGGACACCGUUUACGUACUUUAAGGCCCAUAAUGCAAUUGUUCCGGAAAUGGGCGUGGCUCAGUGUUUUCAGAUUUGAAGAACAUGGCGCAAAAUAUGCAGCCGAAGUACACAUAAUUAUGACACAUUUUAAGAAAAUGUUGAGCAAUGUAAUACAGUAAUUACUUUUCAAAUAAGUUACCUUACACGUUAUGUUGGCUGACAAUUUGUUAGCUACGCUGUCCUUAUCAUUACAGCAUGUACCGGUAUGCUAGUUGGCUACUUAUACAUCAAACUUGCCAGUAUAUUAACUAUAGGCUAUCUAACUACCCGUGUCAUAGGUUUAUUGACUUGAUUAUUCCCGUCAUUCUUUGUUCAGCUAAAUGUUAUAGUCGUUUUGCGUUCUCAAUGGAUAUUCGGGUGCUUUUGUAAAUUCGCUCUGGCUAUCUACUCUGAUUUCGCCUGAGUAAUGUUAUACCUCAGAGCAGAGUGCAGAAUAAUGACUUUACGAACGCUCAACACCGGUUGAAUAUGGUCGGUGUCAGUAAACCUCGGCAAAAAAAAAGCGUUAUUAAAUUGUUGCCAGCAGCACAUUUAGUCACCAACGCUCUGGAUAACAUGACAACUGCCUAACCAGCUGUGCUAGGGUCCUGAAGGACGCCUCACUGUCCUCAGCUGUUUGGCUUCUAUGAGAGGACCAUCUCUACCAGCACUCAUGGGUCACCCAAGGCCCAAAUCGCCAUGACUUGAUAGGUGACCAGUCGCCUGUAAGCGGUGGACAGCCUCCCUAUGAGCCGGGUGCUGGGCUUCGGAGCCAAAUACCUGCAGGAUCACUUCUCUUCCUGGGCCAGACAGCAGCGUGGAUAUGAGGAAGCUUUUGUGAAUGAUGAUGAUGAGGAGGAAGUCGACUGAGCCAGAGGGAUUUUCCCCCAUUCUAUACCCCCAUUGUCUUCUUCCCGGUUAUCCACUCUUUUCCCAAAGUAUGCACUUGUGCAUUUUCUGUCAUGGAUCAGAAUUUGAUAUGUGUAAUUAUUGGCUAAAGGGAGUUUCCACCAUUGUUAAAUCUAUGACGGGAAAGGUGGAUAAUUGGGAUCUAGCUCUCUAACCCUAGCCCUAACCCCUAGAGAAGUUUCAACUCAGGGUAAUGUAUUUCUAUUAUUGCAUGCCCAAUUAAACAUAGCUUUUGCACAAAGAAACAUGUACAUAGAAAUAUAGAUGACUGUCUUCCAGAGCCAUAUGAUAUGAGGGAAACUGUUCAUCUCAAGCCCCAUUCCAUCUUAUGAAUUAUAAAUGUAUAUGAUAUAAGAAUGUAUAUGAAAGUACAGUAUUCAGGUGUUUUUGUUAAAAUAUUUUAAUUGGGACUAUAGGAAUGUAAAAAAAUAGACAAAUCUGUUGAAUGAAACAUUUACUUGUAUUUUACAUUCUAUUUAGUUAUUUACUUUUUUUAUUGUAAGAAUAAUGAUGAUGAGACUGAUCAGUUUCACCUGUCCUUGUGCUUGUCUCCUCCCCCCUCCAGGUGUCGCCCAUCUUCCCUAUUAUCACCUGUGUUCUCUGUCUUGUUUGUUGCCAGUUUGUCUUGUUUGUUCAAGCUUACCAACGGUUUUCCUGUCAACGCCUACUGUUUCCAAGCCUUGCUUUGCUAGUCCCUCCUGGUUUUGACCGAUGCCUGACCCUGCCUCCACCUUUGCUCCACCUCUGGAUUACUGAACCCUGCCUGACCCUGAGUCUGCCUGCCGUCCUGUACCGUUGCCUAACCCUUGAUUUUUGACCCCUUCCUGCCUUGACCUGUCUUUGCCUGCCCCUGUUUGCUACAAUAAACAGGGUUACUUGAUUCUUGAAAAGGCUAUACUGUCAGAUCCAAAUACUGUUUACAUAAAGCAACAUUACCAAAGAUGUCAACAUUGCAGACCUCCAGGACGUCUUCAGUUGAUCCAGAAAUGGAACCACUAUAUGGUUAAAUCAUGACUGGACCAAAGACUUGGGCAGCUACUGUAGCCUACGUAUACUGUAUGGAAGUGCUAUAUGGUCAAACAGUAAUACUGUGUGCUGAACCUAUGCAUUGGAAUAUCUACCUUGUUUAAUAAGAACAAUUAAACAAAUUCCAUGUUAUGAUUAUAGUGUUCAAUGUUAACACUGAUUUAGACAGCUUUGUGACUGCUUGAUUUGUUAUUAAUUUUUUGAAUACAAAUAGAUCUACUGGGCUCCUGAGUGGUGCAGAGGUCUAAGGCACUGCAUCUCAGUGCUAGAGGAGUCACUACAGACCCUGGAUUCGAAUCCAGGCUGUUUCACAACUGGCUGUGAUUGGGAGUCCGCACAAUUGGCCCAGCAUCAUCCGGGUAUGGCCGGUGUAGGCCGUCAUUGUAAAUAAGAAUUUGUCCUUAACUGACUUGCCUAGUUAAAUAAAUAAAAAAUACUUU
Molecule: non-coding RNA, 2529 nt
Organism: Oncorhynchus mykiss (rainbow trout)
Lineage: Eukaryota; Metazoa; Chordata; Actinopteri; Salmoniformes; Salmonidae
Source: RefSeq, a predicted model, not a curated record